This 290-nucleotide long non-coding RNA is filed under the name Junco hyemalis (dark-eyed junco). RNAcentral describes it as "lncRNA (ENSJHYG00000005139.1)". The record is from RNAcentral. Lineage: Eukaryota; Metazoa; Chordata; Aves; Passeriformes; Passerellidae.
CACAGCAGCUCCCUGCAGCUCCCUGGGCUACCCCGAGCUUUGGUUCAGAAAAGAAUCCUCCAGGUGUGAAGUCUGAUGUCAGUCAGCCUCAGAAAACCAGCACCAGCUGAGCUGAGGACCUGCAAGCAAGUGUCAGACCCAGGGACCUUGAUAAUGAGACACCAACAGCCUGUCCUUUUCUAGUUGUUGAGACCGUGCAUUCCCUCUUGUUGUGCAAUUUGUGGUGGCUUUACAGAUUUUGAUGCCAACCUGAAGGACAAACCCCAAGCUUUUGGAUGCUGCUCAGCCAG